GUGGGGAAUAUUGGACAAUGGGGGGAACCCUGAUCCAGCCAUGCCGCGUGUGUGAAGAAGGCCUUUUGGUUGUAAAGCACUUUAAGCGAGGAGGAGGCUACCGAGAUUAAUACUCUUGGAUAGUGGACGUUACUCGCAGAAUAAGCACCGGCUAACUCUGUGCCAGCAGCCGCGGUAAUACAGAGGGUGCGAGCGUUAAUCGGAUUUACUGGGCGUAAAGCGUGCGUAGGCGGCUUUUUAAGUCGGAUGUGAAAUCCCCGAGCUUAACUUGGGAAUUGCAUUCGAUACUGGGAAGCUAGAGUAUGAGAGAGGAUGGUAGAAUUCCAGGUGUAGCGGUGAAAUGCGUAGAGAUCUGGAGGAAUACCGAUGGCGAAGGCAGCCAUCUGGCCUAAUACUGACGCUGAGGUACGAAAGCAUGGGGAGCAAACAGGAUUAGAUACCCGAGUAGUCC
RNAcentral lists this ribosomal RNA (451 nucleotides) under uncultured bacterium. RNAcentral describes it as "partial 16S ribosomal RNA". It matches the Rfam family "Bacterial small subunit ribosomal RNA", at positions 354 to 796 of the family's 1533-position model. The record is from RNAcentral.